This 133-nucleotide long non-coding RNA is filed under the name Ictidomys tridecemlineatus (thirteen-lined ground squirrel). Its description in RNAcentral is "lncRNA (ENSSTOG00000034751.1)". Lineage: Eukaryota; Metazoa; Chordata; Mammalia; Rodentia; Sciuridae. The record is from RNAcentral.
ACCAAGAAAGCCCAGGAGAGGUGUGGUGAGAUCAAAUGAGGCACACUUUGUUGCUCCUCCUGGUGGACUUCUGGUGCUGACAUCCUGGCUGUGACCACGCCUGCCUGAGUAAUCUGUAUUCUCUACAUAGCAC